This 2903-nucleotide ribosomal RNA is filed under the name Pasteurella multocida. RNAcentral describes it as "23S ribosomal RNA". It matches the Rfam family "Bacterial large subunit ribosomal RNA". Lineage: Bacteria; Pseudomonadati; Pseudomonadota; Gammaproteobacteria; Pasteurellales; Pasteurellaceae. The record is from RNAcentral.
GGUUAAGUGACUAAGCGUACAGGGCGGAUGCCUUGGCAAUCAGAGGCGAUGAAGGACGUGCUAAUCUGCGAAAAGCUUGGAUGAGUCGAUAAGAGGCGUUUAAUCCAAGAUGUCCGAAUGGGGAAACCCAGUAGAUGAAGAAUCUACUAUCAAUAAAUGAAUACAUAGUUUAUUGAGGCGAACCGGGAGAACUGAAACAUCUAAGUACCCCGAGGAAAAGAAAUCAACCGAGAUUCUGUGAGUAGCGGCGAGCGAAAGCGGAAGAGCCAGUAAGUUUUAGCUAGCGUAUUAGAGGAAUUGGCUGGGAAGCCAAAUCAAAGAGGGUGAUAAUCCCGUACUCGAAAGUAUGGUAGUGGAACUAAGCUUACGAUAAGUAAGGCGGGACACGAGAAAUCCUGUUUGAAGAUGGGGGGACCAUCCUCCAAGGCUAAAUACUCCUGAUUGACCGAUAGUGAACCAGUACUGUGAAGGAAAGGCGAAAAGAACCCCGGUGAGGGGAGUGAAAUAGAACCUGAAACCCUGUACGUACAAGCAGUAGGAGCGAGGGCAACCUUGUGACUGCGUACCUUUUGUAUAAUGGGUCAGCGACUUAUAUUUUGUAGCGAGGUUAACUGAAUAAGGGAGCCGAAGGGAAACCGAGUCUUAACUGGGCGUUGAGUUGCAAGGUAUAGACCCGAAACCCGGUGAUCUAGCCAUGGGCAGGUUGAAGGUUGGGUAACACUAACUGGAGGACCGAACCGACUAAUGUUGAAAAAUUAGCGGAUGACUUGUGGCUGGGGGUGAAAGGCCAAUCAAACCGGGAGAUAGCUGGUUCUCCCCGAAAUCUAUUUAGGUAGAGCCUUGAGCGGACACCUUCGGGGGUAGAGCACUGUUUCGGCUAGGGGUCCAUCCCGGAUUACCAACCCGAUGCAAACUGCGAAUACCGAAGAGUGAUACUCAGGAGACACACGGCGGGUGCUAACGUUCGUCGUGGAGAGGGAAACAACCCAGACCGCCAGCUAAGGUCCCGAAGUCUAUAUUAAGUGGGAAACGAAGUGGGAAGGCUUAGACAGCUAGGAUGUUGGCUUAGAAGCAGCCAUCAUUUAAAGAAAGCGUAAUAGCUCACUAGUCGAGUCGGCCUGCGCGGAAGAUGUAACGGGGCUCAAAUAUAGCACCGAAGCUGCGGCAUCAGAAUUUAUUCUGUUGGGUAGGGGAGCGUUGUGUAAGCGGAUGAAGGUGGCUCGAGAGGGUUGCUGGACGUAUCACAAGUGCGAAUGCUGACAUAAGUAACGAUAAAACGAGUGAAAAACUCGUUCGCCGGAAGACCAAGGGUUCCUGUCCAACGUUAAUCGGGGCAGGGUGAGUCGGCCCCUAAGGCGAGGCUGAAAAGCGUAGUCGAUGGGAAACGGGUUAAUAUUCCCGUACUUGGUAAAGCUGCGAUGUGGGGACGGAGAAGGUUAGGUAAGCGGACUGUUGGAUAUGUUCGUUUAAGCAGGUAGUUGGAAAGGGUAGGCAAAUCCGCUCUUUCAUACAACAACGAGACGUGAUGACGAGGCUCUACGGAGCUGAAGUUACCGAUACCCGGCUUCCAGGAAAAGCCACUAAGCGAAAGGCUUUACUAAACCGUACUGAAAACCGACACAGGUGGUCAGGUAGAGAAUACUCAGGCGCUUGAGAGAACUCGGGUGAAGGAACUAGGCAAAAUAGCACCGUAACUUCGGGAGAAGGUGCGCUUACAGUAAUUGUAGUCCCUUGCGGAUGAAGGUGAAGUAAGUCGAAGAUACCAGCUGGCUGCAACUGUUUAUUAAAAACACAGCACUCUGCAAACACGAAAGUGGACGUAUAGGGUGUGAUGCCUGCCCGGUGCUGGAAGGUUAAUUGAUGGUGUUAUCGAAAGAGAAGCUCCUGAUCGAAGCCCCAGUAAACGGCGGCCGUAACUAUAACGGUCCUAAGGUAGCGAAAUUCCUUGUCGGGUAAGUUCCGACCUGCACGAAUGGCAUAAUGAUGGCCAGGCUGUCUCCACCCGAGACUCAGUGAAAUUGAAAUCGCCGUGAAGAUGCGGUGUACCCGCGGCUAGACGGAAAGACCCCGUGAACCUUUACUAUAGCUUGACACUGAACAUUGAAUUUUGAUGUGUAGGAUAGGUGGGAGCCUUUGAAGCAGUGACGCCAGUCAUUGUGGAGGCGACCUUGAAAUACCACCCUUUAACGUUUGAUGUUCUAACGAAGUGCCUGAAACGGGUACUCGGACAGUGUCUGGUGGGUAGUUUGACUGGGGCGGUCUCCUCCCAAAGCGUAACGGAGGAGCACGAAGGUUUGCUAAUGACGGUCGGACAUCGUCAGGUUAGUGCAAUGGUAUAAGCAAGCUUAACUGCGAGACAGACAAGUCGAGCAGGUGCGAAAGCAGGUCAUAGUGAUCCGGUGGUUCUGAAUGGAAGGGCCAUCGCUCAACGGAUAAAAGGUACUCCGGGGAUAACAGGCUGAUACCGCCCAAGAGUUCAUAUCGACGGCGGUGUUUGGCACCUCGAUGUCGGCUCAUCACAUCCUGGGGCUGAAGUAGGUCCCAAGGGUAUGGCUGUUCGCCAUUUAAAGUGGUACGCGAGCUGGGUUUAGAACGUCGUGAGACAGUUCGGUCCCUAUCUGCCGUGGGCGUUGGAUGAUUGAUUGGGGCUGCUCCUAGUACGAGAGGACCGGAGUGGACGCAUCACUGGUGUUCCAGUUGUCUCGCCAGAGGCAUUGCUGGGUAGCUAAAUGCGGAAGAGAUAAGUGCUGAAAGCAUCUAAGCACGAAACUUGCCAAGAGAUGAGUCAUCCCUGACUUUAAGUCAGUAAGGGUUGUUGUAGACGACGACGUAGAUAGGUUGGGUGUGUAAGUGUAGUGAUACAUUGAGCUAACCAAUACUAAUUGCCCGAGAGGCUUAACCAU